Molecule: ribosomal RNA, 253 nt
Filed under: uncultured bacterium
Lineage: Bacteria
Description: partial 16S ribosomal RNA
Rfam family: Bacterial small subunit ribosomal RNA
Source: RNAcentral
UACAGAGGUCUCAAGCGUUGUUCGGAUUCAUUGGGCGUAAAGGGUGCGUAGGUGGCGCUGUAAGUCGGGUGUGAAAUUUCGGAGCUUAACUCCGAAACUGCAUUCGAUACUGCGGUGCUUGAGGACUGGAGAGGAGACUGGAAUUCAUGGUGUAGCAGUGAAAUGUGUUGAUAUCGGUGGGAACGCCAGUGGCGAAAGCGGCAGACUGGACCCUUCCUGACGCUGAUGCGCGAAAGCUAGGGGAGCAAACGGG